UACGGGGGGGGCAAGCGUUGUUCGGAAUUACUGGGCGUAAAGGGCUCGUAGGUGGCCAACUAAGUCAGACGUGAAAUCCCUCAGCUUAACUGGGGAACUGCGUCUGAUACUGGAUGGCUUGGAUUCGGGAGAGGAAUGCGGAAUUCCAGGUGUAGCGGUGAAAUGCGUAGAUAUCUGGAGGAACACCGGUGGCGAAGGCGGCAUUCUGGACCGAUAUUGACGCUGAGGAGCGAAAGCCAGGGGAGCAAACGGG
Molecule: ribosomal RNA, 253 nt
Filed under: uncultured bacterium
Lineage: Bacteria
Description: partial 16S ribosomal RNA
Rfam family: Bacterial small subunit ribosomal RNA
Source: RNAcentral